GGGUCAGUGAUGACAUCCAUAAUGUCAGGAAGAGAGGUGAUGACAUAAAAAUCAUGCUCAAUAUGAUUACGCUGAAGCCC
This 80-nucleotide small nucleolar RNA is filed under the name Nannospalax galili (Upper Galilee mountains blind mole rat). RNAcentral's name for it is "Small nucleolar RNA SNORD115 (ENSNGAG00000008839.1)". It matches the Rfam family "Small nucleolar RNA SNORD115". From Rfam's summary of the family: HBII-52 is a member of the C/D class of snoRNAs, which contain the C (UGAUGA) and D (CUGA) box motifs. HBII-52 is encoded in a tandemly repeated array with another C/D snoRNA, HBII-85, in the Prader-Willi syndrome (PWS) region of chromosome 15. HBII-52 is exclusively expressed in the brain but is absent in PWS patients. Lineage: Eukaryota; Metazoa; Chordata; Mammalia; Rodentia; Spalacidae. The record is from Rfam by way of RNAcentral.